GAUAUGUUGAAUAUUAUAACUCAUAUUAAUGAAGCACGAAAUAAAUAUUUUGGGCCCAUCGUAUUAUGUUUUACAUAAUCAUUUGAUUUUGUUCCAUUUUUUGAAAUAACUCAUAAUCAACCUUGGUUAUAGAUUUAACAUCUAGUCAGUAUCUAUCAUCGGUGCACGUCGCGUUUCGAGUCCACUAGGGUGAUUUGGGACGGGUCGUGUCAAUUAACAAGAGACGGAGAGAGGACUGGGAAUCUAGAGACCAUUUUUUUUAUUCCCACAUUGACAAGAAGAGUUGAUUGAUAUCUACCUACAAAGUACAAACAUCUUUCUUGAUCCCAUAUCGCAAACCUGAGAAAGAAGCACUAAAGAUGAAUUAUAUAAAUAUGUGGGCCAAAUAUAAAUUUGUGGACAGUCAAUUUCUUGGGCUGAAAUUUGAAAACAACAUUUGAUAAAGUAUUUAACUCGGAAAAAUCGGCAAAACCUGUUGCGGGUCGUCCGGUCAACGGUAUGAGUGGUUGAAAUUUCGAUUUUUUACCGGUUCUAAUUAAAAACGGUCUAAAGCAAUGACCGACCUGGAUAUUGGUUCGGUUCCCCAUUUUCCCAAUUGAACCGAUCGGUAUAGUCCGAUUUUCAAGACAUUGCAUAGAAUCAUUGGAAGAUGGAGAGGGAGAAAAAAUAGGCACAUCACGCAUCGAAACGUCAACAUCGAUAUGAAUUCUGUCAAUAUUUUCUUGUACUCAUAACUUUUUCCUUAAAUGGAUGAUUACCUGAAAAUUCUAGUAUUCCUCAUUGUCGCUCUUUACACAUUUAGUACGUGUUCAUCAACCUCCUUAAAGAUCUUUAUUUUAUACAUGUCAUUUGAGGUUUGACAUGUUAAUAUAACUUAAAGUUAGCCAAAGCAUUUUCAAAUAAUUUUAAGUCGUGCAUAAAGAAUUAGUUAGUAAUACAUAAGACAUAUCAUAAAGUACAAUUAAUUAAAUGAUGAUUAUUCGAUCCAAUGGGGAAAUAAUAAUCUUAAGAAUUUAAUUGCAAUAAAUAAUUAUUAAAUGUUGAAACAAGAAAUUUCCUCAGCUCACAUGUACGAAAUAUAUUUGUAUUUGAUAUUACUAAAGUCUUCGUAAAUUCAAUGUGUGAUAACAACCUCUAUUCACAUGAAGGUUUGAAUUUACAUAUUUCAAUUGUCAUUAGUUAAUUCAAUAUAAAAAUAAUCUUUAUAGUAUUAAUAAAUGUUUACAUUAUGCAGUGAUUCUAGUGUUUUCUAAUAACUCUAUUAGAAUUCUAAUUCUAUGUGUAAUAGGAAGGAGAAAAUUCUCAUUACUUUAGGAUGUAUGGAUCUUGACUUGGAGCUUCGUGUGGAUGAAUCACUUGACUCUAUGGAAUCAAGUACUCCAGGGAGAGGCCAUUGUAUGAAUUGUGGGAAACAUUCAAUUGCUUGAGUGUGAGUCUCAUAAAGACUCAUGUCAGUAAAUGCAUCAGGGGAUCAAUUCCCUCAAUGGGAUAAGGCCAAGAACUUUAUAAAGGCUAUUGAAGAACAAUUUGUAAGUUCUGACAUAAUGUUGUCUAGACAUAAUGUUGUCUAGUACCUUAAUAAAAGGCUUUCAGGUAUGAAGUUUGACAAUUCUAAUGGUGUGCAUGAAUACAUAAUGGAAAUAAGAGACAUUGUUGCUCGUCUUAAAUCCC
This 1671-nucleotide long non-coding RNA is filed under the name Olea europaea subsp. europaea. Lineage: Eukaryota; Viridiplantae; Streptophyta; Magnoliopsida; Lamiales; Oleaceae. The record is from RNAcentral.